UGAGCAAUCUGCCCUUCUCUUCGGAAUAAGCGUUGGAAACGACGUCUAAUGCCGAAUACGACCUCCUUUCGCAUGAUCGGAGGUGGAAAGCUCCGGCGGAGAAGGAUGAGCUCGCGGCCUAUCAGCUAGUUGGUGUGGGUAAUGGCCCACCAAGGCGACGACGGGUAGCCGGCCUGAGAGGGUGACCGGCCACAUUGGAACUGAGACACGGUCCAGACUCCGUACGGGAGNAGCG
RNAcentral lists this ribosomal RNA (235 nucleotides) under uncultured bacterium. RNAcentral's name for it is "partial 16S ribosomal RNA". It matches the Rfam family "Bacterial small subunit ribosomal RNA", at positions 118 to 347 of the family's 1533-position model. The record is from RNAcentral.